RNAcentral lists this unclassified non-coding RNA (329 nucleotides) under soil metagenome. Its description in RNAcentral is "partial contains 5.8S ribosomal RNA, internal transcribed spacer 2, and large subunit ribosomal RNA". The stretch from base 1 to 120 matches the Rfam family "5.8S ribosomal RNA", at positions 35 to 154 of the family's 154-position model. The record is from RNAcentral.
GAUGAAGAACGCAGCGAAAUGCGAUAAGUAGUGUGAAUUGCAGAAUUCAGUGAAUCAUCGAAUCUUUGAACGCACAUUGCGCCCUUUGGUAUUCCUUAGGGCAUGCCUGUUCGAGCGUCAUUUCACCACUCAAGCCUGGCUUGGUGUUGGGCGACGUCCCCUUUGGGGACGCGCCUCGAAACGCUCGGCGGCGUGGCACCGGCUUUAAGCGUAGCAGAAUCUUUCGCUUUGGAAGUCGGGGCCCCGUCUGCCGGAAGACCUACUCGCAAGGUUGACCUCGGAUCAGGCAGGGAUACCCGCUGAACUUAAGCAUAUCAAUAAGCGGAGGA